UUGGAUAGCUUGCUAUUCGAUAUUUCUAGCGGCGGACGGGUGAGUAACGCGUGAGUAACCUGCCUUUGAGAGGGGAAUAACUUCCCGAAAGGGAUGCUAAUACCGCAUGACGCAUAUUUAUCGCAUGGUAGAUAUGCCAAAGAUUUAUCGCUCAAAGAUGGACUCGCGUCCGAUUAGCCAGUUGGCGGGGUAACGGCCCACCAAAGCGACGAUCGGUAGCCGGACUGAGAGGUUGAACGGCCACAUUGGGACUGAGACACGGCCCAAACUCC
This 272-nucleotide ribosomal RNA is filed under the name uncultured Eubacteriales bacterium. RNAcentral's name for it is "uncultured Clostridiales bacterium partial 16S ribosomal RNA". It matches the Rfam family "Bacterial small subunit ribosomal RNA", at positions 71 to 339 of the family's 1533-position model. Lineage: Bacteria; Bacillati; Bacillota; Clostridia; Eubacteriales. The record is from RNAcentral.